UUUUUUACUAGAAAUCACAUAUUACUUAAUAAAAACUAAUGUUUAUUGAGACUUCAUUCUAGGCACUUCCAGGCAUUAUCACUUCUGGUCCUUACACUCAUUUAGUGAAGUAAGUAUAGCCAAAACCUCCAUUUAACAGUGGUAUUUACUUCAACAGAAGAGAAAACAGGCUUCCAGAUGUUAAAGACUUUGCCCAACUACACUGAGCUAUCAAGCUUGUAAGUGGCAGACCCAGAGGUUUGAAUGAAUUAGUUCUCAGAAGUGAUUGAGGAGGAUGAACAUCUGUCACUCUCUAAGUGAUCUGUGGGCCAUAGAUCAAAAUUUGACAUUUGUUAGGAACCUUAUUUCUUUCAAAAAAUCCACACUAUCCUUACUUUCAAAUAUGCCCAUGGUUAAUUCAACCUAAAUUAGUGUUUUAAACCAUUGACCAGAUUCAUAACUUACCCCACGCUUUUCCCUAAUCUUGAUGUUAACUGAUAUUUCAGAAAGAUUCAUCCUAUUUGUUUUGUGACUUCGCAUUCUUUUGUCAGACUUCAUAGGCACACAGGUUCCAGGUUUAACAGAAAGUCUGGAGGCAUUCUCAUAAGCUUCCUGGGAGAGCUUCUAGUAUGGUGUAAGAAAAAUGACAAUUGUCAUAAACUGAAGAACACAACCUCCUUGAAAAGAGGCCUUGUUAUUCACCUCCAGCAAAUUGUUUCCAGAGCAGGACCUUGGAGAGUCAAGACUGCAGCUCAUUCAAGAUUACAGACGGGUUAAGUGACUUGGCCAAAGUCACUGCAUGAGUUAGUGGCCAAGUCAGAACCGGAAGCCAGUUCUCCUGACCCUGGACCAGCGCCGCCUCUGUCCACGUGCUUUUCCGAAACAGCUGGAUUCUCACCAUUGACCAAUCACUCAAACUUUUACAGUUUUGUAGAAUAAUGACCUGGGGACCUUGUUAAAAUGUGGGUUCUGAUCUAGUAGGUCUGCAGAGGGACCUGAGGUUCUGCAUUUCUAGCAAAUUCCCUGAUGAAAGCUAUGGAUCCAGACAGCUCUUUGAGUAAAUAGAAAGCAGCUAGAGAAUGGCUCAGAGAAAAAGCAAAUGACCUAGAUAAAGAGAGGGCUUAUUGCAUUUUAAAUGCCAGUGAGUGAAAAGGGUGUUUCUGAUUGUUAUGAGAGUCUUAAAAUAAAGGUCUUGUCCCAGACAUGAGACCAACUCAACAGGCCAAGUGAGGGCCCUGGGCCGUGUUGGCAAGUGAUGUCCCAGACACACCCAACGACAGCACAAUCAGCCCCUUCAUUGAGCGGAAGCAGCAGCAGCAAGCCAGCCAGAAUGAAAGCCUCUCUGUUUAACAUUCCAGAGGCAUUCCCAGUGUCCCCCAGAGUCCUCAUUAUUCACCUGGAGAAUUACCAAGGGGUUUUCAGAUGGGACAAGUGCCUCUUUACACAGCAAUUCACUAACCCUUAUGACAGUUGGACGACAAAAAAGCUGCACUUGAUGAAGAAAGAAGUGGAAAUGGAGGCUGGGCACAGAAACAGAAGGCCUUGGGCUUGUGGGAUUUCUAAAUCACAGGCAUCGCUUGCCACCUCACACAUGGGGGCAAAGGAUGUCAGCAUUGUUGGCAGUUUGGGGGACAGAGCUUUAGGACUGCAAUACGGUUUUCAGGCCACGAGGAAUGGGCGAGAGAGGACUGCUUGGUGUGGGAGGAGUGAAGGGGCCAGGGCCAGGCUGGGCCAAGCAUGAGAUCAGGGAAGAAGGGUUGUGCCCUGGCUGUUUCUUUAGAUUUGGGAUUAGGUGUAAUGUGUGCUGGCAUUCGAGCUACCACCGGAAAGGACCUUUGAGGUUGCAUAAUCCUGACAUUUUCAAGUCACGUUCUCCGGAGCUCUGAAGAUUCCAUGUGAAGAUUUUUUCUGGGACUGUUGUUUGCUGUGAGGUGUAAUAUCGCCCUCACCCCUCACCCCCGCCCCCCAGGUGUGGUGGCACAGUGUUAGGUCAAUACGACUCAAAAUGCCAGGCUAGAUUCUUUUUCCUCAGAGCGGACCCUUUAUUCUGCUCCAUUUCUUAAGUUCCAACCUCACCAAAACCCUAACGGGGCCCAGAUUUACAAUAUCCCAUUUACACCAUGGGCUGGGAAGUGGACUGGCCUAAGGCAUGGUGGACAAGGGUACCUGUGUGGUGAGAUACGUGUAAGCUUCAGCCAGCCCCGCAGUAGCUUCCCAUCUAACUGGAAUUCCCACCACAGUGUAGGCUAGCAGUUUUCAAAUGAACUCAGGUGCCAGUGCACCUGUGGAACACCGUGAACUAAUUCCAUCAUACAAAUAAGAAGCAAUGUUACCAGCGGGAAAGCUAGCUGUAUUAUAAGCACACACACACUGCAUUCAUUGUUAAGAUUAGUCACACAUAUUCUGGCUCUUCCAGGUACACAAUAAACUUGUACUUCGCCAUUGCUUGUCAUAAGUGUGGCCACAUAACAGGGUUUAGUUAAAGACACGUGCGUGGAAAGCUUUUAAAAUCAGCAUAUGAUUCCCCCCCU
Long non-coding RNA from Pteronotus mesoamericanus, 2510 nucleotides. RefSeq lists it as uncharacterized. The transcript is spliced from 3 exons. The record is from RefSeq and is a predicted model, not a curated record. Lineage: Eukaryota; Metazoa; Chordata; Mammalia; Chiroptera; Mormoopidae.